RNAcentral lists this ribosomal RNA (1310 nucleotides) under metagenome. RNAcentral's name for it is "SSU rRNA". It matches the Rfam family "Eukaryotic small subunit ribosomal RNA", at positions 379 to 1730 of the family's 1831-position model. The record is from RNAcentral.
UAUUUCGGAGAGGGAGCAUGAGAAACGGCUACCACAUCUAAGGAAGGCAGCAGGCGCGUAAAUUACCCAAUCCUGACUCAGGGAGGUAGUGACAAGAAAUAGCAAACCGGGAACCUCAUGGUUUCACGGUAUUGCAAUGAGAACAAUUUAAAACCCUUAGCGAGAAUCAAGUGGAGGACAAGUCUGGAGCCAGCACCCGCGGUAAUUCCAGCUCCACUAGCGUAUAUUAAAGUUGUUGCAGUUAAAAAGCUCGUAGUUGAACCUCUGUCUGGGGCUAGUUUUGGCUUUGGUCAGGCUAGUUCAGGGCAUCCGCCUACAAGACUUAGAGGGCAUUCAGUUGUUCACUAGGAGGAGUAGGCAUUUUACUUUGAAAAAAUUAGAGUGUUUAAGGCAGACAAUCGCCCGCAUAUAUUAGCAUGGAAUAAUAGAAUAGGACACUUUUCCAUUUCGUUGGUUAUUGGAAUCGUGUAAUGAUUAAUAGGGACAGUUGUGGGCAUUUGUAUUUAAUUGUCAGAGGUGAAAUUCUUGGAUUUAUUAAAGACAAACUAACGCGAAAGCAUUUGCCAAGGAUGUUUUCAUUAAUCAAGAACGAAAGUUAGGGGAUCAAAGACGAUCAGAUACCGUCCUAGUCUUAACUAUAAACUAUUCCGGCUCAAUGUUUGACUGGCUUAUAUAACCAGUUGAGCGUUGUAUGAGAAAUCAAAGUCUUUAGGUUCUGGGGGGAGUAUGGUUGCAAAGCUGAAACUUAAAGGAAUUGACGGAAGAGCACAACCAGGAGUGGAUUCUGCGGCUUAAUUUGACUCAACACGGGGAAACUUACCAGGUUAAAACAAUAGUGGGAUUGACAGUUUGAGAGCGCUUUCUUGAUUGGUUGGGUGGUGGUGCAUGGCCGUUCUUAGUUGGUGGAGUGAUUUGUCUGCUUAAUUGCGUUAACGAACGAGACCUUAACCUGCUUACUAGACUGGCGAUCAUCAAUCGUUAGCUCUUCUUAGAGGGACUUUGGUUGUUUUAACUCCAAGGAAGUUUGAGGCAAUAACAGGUCUGUGAUGCCCUUAGAUAUCCUGGGCCGCACGCGUCAUACAAUGACUAGUUCAGAAAGUUUUCUCCUGACCCGAAAGGGGAUGGGUAAUCUUGAUAAUACUAGUCGUGUUAGGGAUCGAUCCUUGCAAUUAUAGAUCUUGAACGAGGAAUUCCUAGUAAGUGCGGUUCAUCAGACCGUACUGAUUACGUCCCUGCUCUUUGUACACACCGCCCGUCGCUUCUACCGAGUGGGUGGUCCGGUGAGAUAAUUGAACUUCGCAGGUAACUGA